Schistocerca gregaria is the source of this 659-nucleotide long non-coding RNA. RefSeq lists it as uncharacterized. Lineage: Eukaryota; Metazoa; Arthropoda; Insecta; Orthoptera; Acrididae. The record is from RefSeq and is a predicted model, not a curated record. The transcript has 3 exons.
UACUAAUGAAAUCUGACAUCACAAAUCCAUUUAUACUAGUUUCUCUUAAACAGAAACAUCCAAAAGCAAGGACAAUGUCAAUGAAGAUUCUGUUGAUUCUCAAUACUGUAUUGGCAUACAUUCUGUUGACAACAUGGAUUUGCACAGUUUGUUACUGUGUAACAUGUUCAGUGAAAUCGCUCAUAUUAAGCAAAAAUCAUAAAGUGGAAGAUAGCAAUUGUCAUACAUGACACACUAAUUGUGUUAUGCCAGUAAUGUAGCUGCAAAUGCAAUGUUGGGAUUAGGCAACUUGGUUUCAUAGCCGAGUGCAUGCCAGUAAUUGUUUGGAGGCGCAGUGCUGCCACUGAAGUGUUUGAGGAAGAAACACAUGAACAGAAAAAGGAAACAUUCAGUACAGAGGAAGAUACUGUUGCAAACUUGCAGUUGCAAAACAAGAGACUGAAAGCAGAUGUGAGUUUUUAUAGUGAUGUCUCUAUUAUCAUUAGUAAAAUCCACUAGUGAGAAAUGUGUUAUAAUAAUUGUCAUUUACAUAUAUUUCAAUGGAUUUCCAGGAAAUGUAAAUCUGAUACCACAGUGUUUUUUGGGAUUGUGUGUAAAUAAUCCUUGUGUAAAUUUGAGUUUACAAAAAAAUCUCCCAGUUUUAGCAAGUUCAUCAUACU